CGAGAGGUAUUAUUGUUCUGCUCAUUUUCAAUCGAUCAAAGACUGGCUCGGAUGGAAAUCGAUGGGCUAAGGGAUCCGAAGAUAACUCAAUGAGCUACGGAGGUCCCAUAGGUUGUCCUCCAUAGGAAUACGACUCAGAGAAAAACUUGAAGAGCUGAUCUGGAUAGAGAUCGACGGGUUGGAGGAUCCAGAGAUAACUCG
This 201-nucleotide long non-coding RNA is filed under the name Elaeis guineensis (African oil palm). RNAcentral describes it as "long non-coding RNA (EGUI_LNC006458)". The record is from RNAcentral. Lineage: Eukaryota; Viridiplantae; Streptophyta; Magnoliopsida; Arecales; Arecaceae.